UACGGAGGAUGCGAGCGUUAUCCGGAUUUAUUGGGUUUAAAGGGUGCGUAGGCGGCCUGCCAAGUCAGCGGUAAAAUUGCGGGGCUCAACCCCGUACAGCCGUUGAAACUGCCGGGCUCGAGUGGGCGAGAAGUAUGCGGAAUGCGUGGUGUAGCGGUGAAGUGCAUAGAUAUCACGCAGAACCCCGAUUGCGAAGGCAGCAUACCGGCGCCCGACUGACGCUGAGGCACGAAAGUGCGGGGAUCAAACAGG
This 252-nucleotide ribosomal RNA is filed under the name uncultured bacterium. RNAcentral describes it as "partial 16S ribosomal RNA". It matches the Rfam family "Bacterial small subunit ribosomal RNA", at positions 524 to 776 of the family's 1533-position model. The record is from RNAcentral.